Molecule: RNA transcript, 3774 nt
Organism: Lotus japonicus
Lineage: Eukaryota; Viridiplantae; Streptophyta; Magnoliopsida; Fabales; Fabaceae
Gene name: valine--tRNA ligase, chloroplastic/mitochondrial 2
Exons: 27
Source: RefSeq, a predicted model, not a curated record
UUCUACAAGAUAUGGAGCAACAUCCUCGUAAUCCCAUUUCCCAACCCAGUGCCGCUGCUGGGUUUCCCCUUACGCCGUGAAUUCUGAUAACCCAACUGAACUCAAAGCAUACAACUAUGACCACGAUAGUCUCUCUUUCUACUUCGUGUUACUCCUCUUGCUCUCUCUUCUCUCCUUUCUCCAAUUGCUACAGACUCAACCCUCUUCUCUUCUACACGCGCCGUCGCGCCAUUCCCUGUUGCCGCCGCUUCACCACAACUCGCCUUCUCGCAGUUGCUGCUUCAGAGAAUGGUGUCUUUACCUCUCCUGAGAUAGCCAAAUCAUUCGACUUUUCCGCCGAAGAACGCAUAUAUAAUUGGUGGGAGUCUCAAGGGUAUUUUAAGCCGACUUUUGACCGGGGAAGUGAUCCUUUUGUGAUAUCAAUGCCGCCUCCUAAUGUUACUGGUUCUCUGCACAUGGGGCAUGCGAUGUUUGUGACACUUGAGGAUAUAAUGGUUAGGUACAAUCGCAUGAAGGGAAGGCCAACCCUUUGGCUUCCUGGGACAGAUCAUGCUGGUAUUGCGACUCAGUUGGUUGUUGAAAGAAUGCUAGCUUCUGAAGGAAUAAAAAGGGUUGAAAUGACUAGAGAUGAAUUCACAACACGAGUAUGGCAGUGGAAAGAGAAGUAUGGCGGAACUAUCACAAAUCAGAUCAAGAGACUUGGUGCUUCUUGUGACUGGUCAAGAGAGCACUUCACCCUUGAUGAACAGCUAAGUCAUGCUGUAGUUGAGGCAUUUGUUAGGCUUCAUGAGAAAGGCUUAAUUUAUCAAGGUUCAUAUAUGGUAAACUGGUCACCUACUCUCCAGACUGCUGUUUCUGACCUGGAAGUUGAAUAUUCAGAAGAGUCUGGAUAUCUUUAUUAUAUUAGGUAUCGCAUUGCCGGAGGUUCAAGGAGUGACUACUUGACUGUGGCUACAACGCGCCCAGAAACUUUAUUUGGUGAUGUAGCACUAGCAGUUAAUCCACACGAUGAUCGCUAUUCCAAGUAUAUUGGUCAGAUGGCAAUUGUGCCUCAGACAUUUGGCCGUCAUGUUCCUAUUAUUUAUGACAAGCAUGUUGAUAAAGAGUUUGGAACGGGAGUAUUGAAAAUUAGUCCAGGACAUGAUCAUAAUGACUAUCUACUUGCUCGCAAGCUUGGUCUUCCUAUACUCAAUGUGAUGAACAAGGAUGGUACAUUAAAUGAUGUUGCUGGCUUAUACAGUGGCCUUGAUCGAUUUGAGGCUCGAAAGAAACUGUGGGCGGAACUUGAGGAGACAGGGUUAGCUGUGAAAAAGGAACCACACACUUUACGCGUUCCCAGAUCUCAGCGUGGUGGAGAAGUGAUAGAGCCACUUGUAAGUAAGCAAUGGUUUGUAAGUAUGGAGCCUCUUGCCGAGAAAGCUCUUCAAGCAGUUGAAAAAGGAGAGCUGACUAUAAUUCCGGAAAGAUUUGAGAAGAUUUACAACCAUUGGCUUUCCAACAUUAAGGAUUGGUGUAUAAGCAGACAACUAUGGUGGGGACACCGGAUACCUGUUUGGUACAUUGUCGGAAAACGUAAUGAAGAAGACUAUAUAGUUGCUAGGAAUGCUGAUGAAGCACUUGAGAAAGCUCGCAAGAAAUAUGGAAAGGAUGUAGAAAUAUAUCAGGAUCCUGAUGUUCUUGACACUUGGUUUUCAAGUGCCUUAUGGCCUUUUAGUACACUUGGAUGGCCAGAUUUAAAUGCAGAAGAUUUUAAGAGGUUAUAUCCAACUACAGUGCUUGAAACUGGGCAUGACAUAUUGUUCUUUUGGGUGGCGAGAAUGGUGAUGAUGGGAAUCGAGUUCACAGGAACUGUUCCAUUUUCUUAUGUUUAUUUGCAUGGACUCAUCAGGGAUUCACAGGGUAGAAAAAUGUCUAAGACCUUAGGGAAUGUAAUAGACCCCAUUGACACUAUCAAAGACUUUGGGACAGAUGCUUUACGAUUCACACUAGCUUUAGGAACAGCUGGCCAGGACCUUAAUUUGUCCUCUGAGCGCUUAACGUCCAACAAGGCCUUCACAAACAAAUUGUGGAACGCUGGCAAAUUUAUAUUACAGAAUUUGCCCAAUGAGAAUGAUACAUCUGCUUGGGAAAACAUAUUGUCUCAUAAGUUUGAUGGUGAAGGCUCUGUACUUAAUCUUCCUUUGCCAGAGUGUUGGGUGGUGUCAAAACUUCACUUGCUCAUUGAUUCUGUCAGUGCAAGCUACGAUAAAUUUUACUUUGGAGAAGUGGGAAGAGAAACAUAUGAUUUCUUUUGGGCUGAUUUUGCUGAUUGGUAUAUUGAGGCCAGCAAAGUGCGGCUUUAUAACUCUGGAACUGGAGGCAGCUCGGAUGCUUCAGUGGCACAGGCUGUUUUAUUGUAUACUUUUGAGAACGUACUCAAAGUGCUGCAUCCUUUCAUGCCAUUUGUAACUGAGGAACUAUGGCAGGAAUCUGCGAGGACCCGUGGUGAGGUGGGGAUUGGGGAUGGCGAGAAAAUUCACCCCGCCACAGGAAUGGGGAGUGGGGAUGGGGACAUGAAAGAGAUGCGGGGACGGGGACAGGGGAGGCACUCUCCGCCCCCGCCCCGCGCGGGUGCCAUCCCUAUCCAGGCACUCCCUUACCGGAAGCAAGCCCUUAUUGUAUCACCUUGGCCAGAGAGUCAACUACCAAGGAACACCAGCUCUAUAAGAAAAUUUGAAAAUUUGCAAGCUUUGGUUCGAGCUAUCCGGAAUGCUCGGGCAGAAUAUUCUGUUGAGCCUGCAAAACGGAUAUCAGCAUCUGUGGUUGCAAGCAAUGAAGUUAUUGAAUAUAUUGCUGAAGAAAAAGAGGUUUUAGCACUUCUCUCCCGGCUGGAUAUACCAAAUCUGCAUUUUUCAAAUUCUUCUCCAGGCAUGAUUUCUACUUAAUUUUGUACUAUCGGGUUGAAGACUGAAUUUUACCCUUUUUUCCCCCCUUGACACUUGUUUAUUGGGUCCAAAUGAGUACCGGUCUCUGACUAAUUUCUCUGGUGGAUGUCAUGUAACAUACUUCAGGAAAUGCAGAUCAAUCAGUUCAUCUCGUGGCUGGUGAAGGGCUUGAGGCAUAUCUUCCUCUGGCCGAUAUGGUUGAUAUUUCUGCAGAAGCUCAACGUCUCUCAAAACGCCUUUCCAAGAUGCAGAAGGAGUAUGACGCAUUGAUAGCUAAAAUCAGUUCUCCUCAAUUUGUGGAGAAGGCCCCAGAAAAUGUGGUCCGUGGGGUGCAGGAAAAAGCAGCGGAAGCAGAAGAAAAGAUCACUUUAACCAAAAAACGCCUUGAAUUCCUGAACUCUAGUGUUCUAGCUUCAAAAUAGGCUUGGCCAGAGUUGCUACUUCAUCAUUACCUGUUCAAGCUAAAUGCCCAUCAUAUCCAAGGACCUAGGCCAUGGUUCUUCAUGAUUAAUCACAUAUGGCAUCUCUUUACUGCGGCAUUGAAUGCCCUAUGCGUAUCAGCAAUACAAACCACAGCUCUUCUACUCUGCAUCACUCCAAGAGAAUAGUUUUUUUUUACAAAUAUUGGUUGUUGUGGAUCAUUCUACACUGGCUUAUGUAACCACAAGGUGAGAUGUUAGAAAUAGUGGGUCUUUGUAUGUCCCCAUUGGUUAAUGUUUGUUGUUCCUCAAUAUUUGGUUACAAAUCAAGUGCUCUAAUCCAAAGUAAAGCAGCAAUGCGAUAAAUGACUUGUGUUGUUUACUUAGCGUUAAUGGUGAAAUUAGUCCAUGUCUUUGUAGUUGGUUUUGAA